CGUAGGGUGCAAGCGUUAAUCGGAAUUACUGGGCGUAAAGCGUGCGCAGGCGGUUAUGUAAGACAGAGGUGAAAUCCCCGGGCUCAACCUGGGAACUGCCUUUGUGACUGCAUAGCUAGAGUACGGCAGAGGGGGAUGGAAUUCCGCGUGUAGCAGUGAAAUGCGUAGAUAUGCGGAGGAACACCGAUGGCGAAGGCAAUCCCCUGGGCCUGUACUGACGCUCGUGCACGAAAGCGUGGGGAGCAAACAGGAUUAGAUACCCUGGUAGUCCACGCCCUAAACGAUGUCAACUGGUUGUUGGGUCUUCACUGACUCAGUAACGAAGCUAACGCGUGAAGUUGACCGCCUGGGGAGUACGGCCGCAAGGUUG
Molecule: ribosomal RNA, 370 nt
Filed under: uncultured organism
Description: bacterial SSU rRNA
Rfam family: Bacterial small subunit ribosomal RNA
Source: RNAcentral